Molecule: long non-coding RNA, 473 nt
Filed under: Vulpes vulpes (red fox)
Lineage: Eukaryota; Metazoa; Chordata; Mammalia; Carnivora; Canidae
Description: lncRNA (ENSVVUG00000006063.1)
Source: RNAcentral
CUUGAGGGAGAAGGAGGCCUGGAAUGAAGGCAAGGAUUCACUAUUAAUGAUAAAGCCCAGGAGGCCAGGUGUAGCUGUGGACUGAGACCAUACCUUGUGCCCAAUGUGGGGAAGGAGAACCAAAAAUGCUGCCUGCUUCCUGGGCAACAAGAGGGACUCGGGCACUGGGCAUUGUAAAAAAAAUAUGGUAGAAUCAGGAAGAGAAGCCAUAUUCUUCAGGCAUCCUGGCCAAGAAAUUUGUCUUACCCAGAUAGGAGAAAGCCUGAAUGCUAGCCCCAUGCAAAGCAAUAAGCCAGUGGUCUGUUAGGAGAAGUGACACGGGUGACUUCCAGGCUGAGAAAGUGAAGAGCCCUGUGUGUCUUUCCAAGCUCUCUCCCUUCCUGGCCAGUGUGGAGGUCCUGUGUUGAGAUGGCCAAGCCGCAAAUGGAAGCAGCCUGGAUUGUUAGAGUACCGCACAUGGGACAGCUACCCUG